AAUAGAUUUUCGUUUGAGUUGACUCAAAAGAAAUAUUGUUUACGAACUUGAACCAAUAAGAUACAACGAAUUCACAAAAGAGAAAAAAAAAGCACACAACAAACGCUAAACACGAAUGAACGAACACAAAGACUAACUAACAAUCUAGUAGAUGAGUACUAGUUUGCCAAUUAGUAUUGGAACCAACAAGCGAAACUACGGAACAAUAAAAAGAAACUAAGAAAAUCUGAAAUUUGAGCCAAAAUUUGAUGCGUGAACAGUAACUUGAGGAGGUGGCAGCCACGUAUUGAUUGCGGUUUCUACAAUUUUUAUUUUCCAAAGU
This 322-nucleotide long non-coding RNA is filed under the name Capsicum annuum. Its description in RNAcentral is "long non-coding RNA (CANN_LNC004121)". The record is from RNAcentral. Lineage: Eukaryota; Viridiplantae; Streptophyta; Magnoliopsida; Solanales; Solanaceae.